CCUGGUAGUCCACGCCGUAAACGAUGUCGACUUGGAGGUUGUGCCCUUGAGGCGUGGCUUCCGGAGCUAACGCGUUAAGUCGACCGCCUGGGGAGUACGGCCGCAAGGUUAAAACUCAAAUGAAUUGACGGGGGCCCGCACAAGCGGUGGAGCAUGUGGUUUAAUUCGAUGCAACGCGAAGAACCUUACCUGGUCUUGACAUCCACGGAAGUUUUCAGAGAUGAGAAUGUGCCUUCGGGAACCGUGAGACAGGUGCUGCAUGGCUGUCGUCAGCUCGUGUUGUGAAAUGUUGGGUUAAGUCCCGCAACGAGCGCAACCCUUAUCCUUUGUUGCCAGCGAUUCGGUCGGGAACUCAAAGGAGACUGCCAGUGAUAAACUGGAGGAAGGUGGGGAUGACGUCAAGUCAUCAUGGCCCUUACGACCAGGGCUACACACGUGCUACAAUGGCGCAUACAAAGAGAAGCGACCUCGCGAGAGCAAGCGGACCUCAUAAAGUGCGUCGUAGUCCGGAUUGGAGUCUGCAACUCGACUCCAUGAAGUCGGAAUCGCUAGUAAUCGUGGAUCAGAAUGCCACGGUGAAUACGUUCCCGGGCCUUGUACACACCGCCCGUCACACCAUGGGAGUGGGUUGCAAAAGAAGUAGGUAGCUUAACCUUCGGGAGGGCGCUUACCACUUUGUGAUUCAUGACUGGGGUGAAGUCGUAAC
Molecule: ribosomal RNA, 706 nt
Filed under: Escherichia albertii
Lineage: Bacteria; Pseudomonadati; Pseudomonadota; Gammaproteobacteria; Enterobacterales; Enterobacteriaceae
Description: bacterial SSU rRNA
Rfam family: Bacterial small subunit ribosomal RNA
Source: RNAcentral